GACGGUGAAGCAGAGUAUUGCUCUGUGGAUCAGUGGCGAACGGGUGAGUAACACGUGAGCAAUCUGCCCCUGACUCUGGGAUAAGCGCUGGAAACGGCGUCUAAUACCGGAUACGAGCUGCGACCGCAUGGUCAGUAGCUGGAAAGAAUUUCGGUCAGGGAUGAGCUCGCGGCCUAUCAGCUUGUUGGUGAGGUAAUGGCUCACCAAGGCGUCGACGGGUAGCCGGCCUGAGAGGGUGACCGGCCACACUGGGACUGAGACACGGCCCAGACUCCUACGGGAGGCAGCAGUGGGGAAUAUUGCACAAUGGGCGCAAGCCUGAUGCAGCAACGCCGCGUGAGGGAUGACGGCCUUCGGGUUGUAAACCUCUUUUAGCAGGGAAGAAGCGAAAGUGACGGUACCUGCAGAAAAAGCGCCGGCUAACUACGUGCCAGCAGCCGCGGUAAUACGUAGGGCGCAAGCGUUAUCCGGAAUUAUUGGGCGUAAAGAGCUCGUAGGCGGUCUGUCGCGUCUGCUGUGAAAACCCGAGGCUCAACCUCGGGCCUGCAGUGGGUACGGGCAGACUAGAGUGCGGUAGGGGAGAUUGGAAUUCCUGGUGUAGCGGUGGAAUGCGCAGAUAUCAGGAGGAACACCGAUGGCGAAGGCAGAUCUCUGGGCCGUAACUGACGCUGAGGAGCGAAAGGGUGGGGAGCAAACAGGCUUAGAUACCCUGGUAGUCCACCCCGUAAACGUUGGGAACUAGUUGUGGGGUCCAUUCCACGGAUUCCGUGACGCAGCUAACGCAUUAAGUUCCCCGCCUGGGGAGUACGGCCGCAAGGCUAAAACUCAAAGGAAUUGACGGGGACCCGCACAAGCGGCGGAGCAUGCGGAUUAAUUCGAUGCAACGCGAAGAACCUUACCAAGGCUUGACAUAUAGAGGAAACGUCUGGAAACAGUCGCCCCGCAAGGUCUCUAUACAGGUGGUGCAUGGUUGUCGUCAGCUCGUGUCGUGAGAUGUUGGGUUAAGUCCCGCAACGAGCGCAACCCUCGUUCUAUGUUGCCAGCACGUAAUGGUGGGAACUCAUGGGAUACUGCCGGGGUCAACUCGGAAGAAGGUGGGGAUGACGUCAAAUCAUCUUGCCCCUUAAGUCCUGGG
Molecule: ribosomal RNA, 1135 nt
Filed under: Microbacterium arborescens
Lineage: Bacteria; Bacillati; Actinomycetota; Actinomycetes; Micrococcales; Microbacteriaceae
Description: bacterial SSU rRNA
Rfam family: Bacterial small subunit ribosomal RNA
Source: RNAcentral